AAUCAUUGGAGCGAGCUCGUCGCGUCGCUUCGCGAUGCGAGCUUCGCUCGCUAAUAUGUUGUACGGUGUGACCGUUGAGACGAGCGAAGGGUCGGAAAGUCUCGUUUACUUUCACUUUCGAUUUACUACUUCCGGGCAGCAGUCGAUAAAUGUCACUUUGUUUUGCUUUGGUUAUGCUCAGAUGACAGCAUUAAAAUGAACCUACAGCCAAUAUAGAUUCCCAACUUAUGCAAAAAGAGGAAGAAGUGGAUUUAUAGAUGCAGAUGCUGUUAUAUACAUCAUUUCCUUCAGAUGUAUCAAUGUGCUGGUGGCUGUUAUGAAGAGAAUGGGCCCAUUUUAACAACUUCUAGGGUGGGCGGUACAAGGGUUCAUACCAGUGAUCAAUUUGUCAUGACUCUUAUGAAGUUGCACCUAAAUCUAAGGGAUCUACAUUUAGCAGACCAGAGGGCUCAAUGCCGAAUUUACCUCUGAAAGAAUCGCAAUGGAUACAACAAACAGAACACUGGAUUUAAUUUUAAAAAUGAAUAACUAGUCAUUAUCUGACAGCAACUACAUUGUGCAAAAUUUGUCACACAGCAAAGGCUAUCACUUGUGUAGCACAAUUGUUCUGAAUUAUAUCCUGGAUCCACCUUUGAUGGUGACAUUGUUGAUCACUGAGGUGUAUUGGAGAUGUUGAAGCCAGAUGAUAUAUGAUUCUUGCUAAUAAAGGAUUUGAUAUAUUUGAUAAACUUUAAUCAGGAGUGACAUUGAACAUAUCACCUUUUCUUUCAUCAAAAUCUCAUUUCAGUAAGGAUGAAGCACAACUGUUACAAGACCAGGAAGAGUCAAAUUCAUGUGGAGUGUGCAAUUUAAUAAUUAAAAACACCCAUAUUCUAAAUCAUAUACCUUCACAAUACAGACAUAUAUAUCUGUCCACUAAGAUUUUCAACUCUGUGUGACUCUUGUACAUUUGCAAAUCCUCUACUGAAGGAAAUAGCUGAUAUGAAUUCCACAAUUUAUUAAAUCUUACCUUUGGACUUAAGAUACUAUAAAUGUACAACUUCUUACUCACAUUAUUCUGCAUUGUCAAGUUGUAUUAAAUGCAUUCAAGUAAAUGAUAAAGUGAACAUUUAUUUAAGGCUGCAGCGUCUGCUAGUCAAAGAAAUUGUUACAAUUGUGAUUCAUGUACAUCUUUAUACUGAUCAUUUGUAGCAAAAACAAAAUAAAACUAAUGGAAGACAUUUGAAUUUUCA
Ostrea edulis (European flat oyster) is the source of this 1232-nucleotide long non-coding RNA. RefSeq lists it as uncharacterized. The record is from RefSeq and is a predicted model, not a curated record. The transcript is spliced from 2 exons. NCBI's taxonomy places the organism in Eukaryota, Metazoa, Mollusca, Bivalvia, Ostreida, Ostreidae.